Molecule: non-coding RNA, 447 nt
Filed under: Perkinsus marinus ATCC 50983
Lineage: Eukaryota; Perkinsozoa; Perkinsida; Perkinsidae
Description: Eukaryotic small subunit ribosomal RNA
Rfam family: Eukaryotic small subunit ribosomal RNA
Source: Rfam by way of RNAcentral
UGCGCGAACUUUAUGUUUCGUCGCUACUUCUUAGAGGGACUUUGUGUGUUUAACACAAGGAAGCUUGAGGCAAUAACAGGUCUGUGAUGCCCUUAGAUGUUCUGGGCUGCACGCGCGCUACACUGACACGAUCAACAAGUAUUUCCUUGCCCGGUAGGGUUAGGGUAAUCUUUUGAAAUCGUGUCGUGCUAGGGAUAGACGAUUGCAAUUAUUCGUCUUCAACGAGGAAUUCCUAGUAAAUGCAAGUCAUCAGCUUGCGUUGAUUACGUCCCUGCCCUUUGUACACACCGCCCGUCGCUCCUACCGAUUGAGUGAUCCGGUGAGCUGUCCGGACUGCGAUUAGUUCAGUUUCUGUUCUCUUCGCGGGAAGUUCUGCAAACCUUAUCACUUAGAGGAAGGAGAAGUCGUAACAAGGUUUCCGUAGGUGAACCUGCGGAAGGAUCAUUC